Molecule: ribosomal RNA, 446 nt
Filed under: uncultured bacterium
Lineage: Bacteria
Description: partial 16S ribosomal RNA
Rfam family: Bacterial small subunit ribosomal RNA
Source: RNAcentral
AACGAACGCUGGCGGCAGGCUUAACACAUGCAAGUCGAGCGCCCCGCAGGGGAGCGGCAGACGGGUGAGUAACGCGUGGGAAUCUACCGUGCCCUACGGAAUAGCUCCGGGAAACUGGAAUUAAUACCGUAUACGCCCUACGGGGGAAAGAUUUAUCGGGGUAUGAUGAGCCCGCGUUGGAUUAGCUAGUUGGUGGGGUAAAGGCCUACCAAGGCGACGAUCCAUAGCUGGUCUGAGAGGAUGAUCAGCCACAUUGGGACUGAGACACGGCCCAAACUCCUACGGGAGGCAGCAGUGAGGAAUAUUGGACAAUGGGCGCAAGCCUGAUCCAGCCAUGCCGCGUGAGUGAUGAAGGUCUUAGGAUUGUAAAGCUCUUUCACCGGUGAAGAUAAUGACGGUAACCGGAGAAGAAGCCCCGGCUAACUUCGUGCCAGCAGCCGCGGUAA